RNAcentral lists this ribosomal RNA (301 nucleotides) under uncultured bacterium. Its description in RNAcentral is "partial 16S ribosomal RNA". It matches the Rfam family "Bacterial small subunit ribosomal RNA", at positions 509 to 808 of the family's 1533-position model. The record is from RNAcentral.
CAGUAGCCGCGGUAAUCCGUAGGUGGCAAGCGUUGUCCGGAAUUAUUGGGCGUAAAGCGAGCGCAGGCGGUUAGAUAAGUCUGAAGUUAAAGGCUGUGGCUUAACCAUAGUACGCUUUGGAAACUGUUUAACUUGAGUGCAAGAGGGGAGAGUGGAAUUCCAUGUGUAGCGGUGAAAUGCGUAGAUAUAUGGAGGAACACCGGUGGCGAAAGCGGCUCUCUGGCUUGUAACUGACGCUGAGGCUCGAAAGCGUGGGGAGCAAACAGGAUUAGAUACCCCGGUAGUCCCUGUCUCUUAUACA